GCAUGGCUGAAUUCUGUUUCACUUUUCCUGUAGUAAACACAGUCAGACACCAUGCAAAAUUAUCACUCGUUCUCUGACUCAAUCACAGUGGUACCUUUUGUAUGUUAUUACUAAUAUGAAGAGAGCACACAA
Trichomycterus rosablanca is the source of this 132-nucleotide small nucleolar RNA. RefSeq annotates it as small nucleolar RNA SNORA15. The transcript has a single exon. The record is from RefSeq and is a predicted model, not a curated record. NCBI's taxonomy places the organism in Eukaryota, Metazoa, Chordata, Actinopteri, Siluriformes, Trichomycteridae.